This 318-nucleotide ribosomal RNA is filed under the name uncultured bacterium. RNAcentral's name for it is "bacterial SSU rRNA". It matches the Rfam family "Bacterial small subunit ribosomal RNA", at positions 125 to 458 of the family's 1533-position model. The record is from RNAcentral.
UCUGCCCUUUGGCCUGGAAUAACACGAGGAAACUUGUGCUAAUACCGGAUAAGUCUUUACGGAGAAAGCUUUAUGCACCAUUGGAUGAGCCUGCACUUGAUUAGUUUGUUGGUGGGGUAAUGGCCUACCAAGACAAUGAUCAAUAGCUGAUUUGAGAGGAUGAUCAGCCACAUUGGGACUGAGACACGGCCCAAACUCCUACGGGAGGCAGCAGUAGGGAAUCUUGCACAAUGGAGGAAACUCUGAUGCAGCGAUGCCGCGUGAGUGAAGAAGGCCUUUGGGUUGUAAAGCUCUUUCGUCGGGGAAGAAAAUGACUGU